AUGCAAGUCGAGCGAACAGAUAAGGAGCUUGCUCCUUUGACGUUAGCGGCGGACGGGUGAGUAACACGUGGAUAACAGACCUAUAAGACUGGGAUAACUUCGGGAAACCGGAGCUAAUACCGGAUAACAUAUUGAACCGCAUGGUUCAAUAGUGAAAGGCGGCUUUGCUGUCACUUAUAGAUGGAUCCGCGCCGUAUUAGCUAGUUGGUAAGGUAACGGCUUACCAAGGCAACGAUACGUAGCCGACCUGAGAGGGUGAUCGGCCACACUGGAACUGAGACACGGUCCAGACUCCUACGGGAGGCAGCAGUAGGGAAUCUUCCGCAAUGGGCGAAAGCCUGACGGAGCACGCCGCGUGAGUGAUGAAGGUCUUCGGAUCGUAAAACUCUGUUAUCAGGGAAGAACAAAUGUGUAAGUAACUGUGCACAUCUUGACGGUACCUGAUCAGAAAGCCACGGCUAACUACGUGCCAGCAGCCGCGGUAAUACGUAGGUGGCAAGCGUUAUCCGGAAUUAUUGGGCGUAAAGCGCGCGUAGGCGGUUUUUUAAGUCUGAUGUGAAAGCCCACGGCUCAACCGUGGAGGGUCAUUGGAAACUGGAAAACUUGAGUGCAGAAGAGGAAAGUGGAAUUCCAUGUGUAGCGGUGAAAUGCGCAGAGAUAUGGAGGAACACCAGUGGCGAAGGCGACUUUCUGGUCUGUAACUGACGCUGAUGUGCGAAAGCGUGGGGAUCAAACAGGAUUAGAUACCCUGGUAGUCCACGCCGUAAACGAUGAGUGCUAAGUGUUAGGGGGUUUCCGCCCCUUAGUGCUGCAGCUAACGCAUUAAGCACUCCGCCUGGGGAGUACGACCGCAAGGUUGAAACUCAGAGGAAUUGACGGGGACCCGCACAAGCGGUGGAGCAUGGGGGUUAAUUCGAAGCGACGCGAACAACCUUACCAAAUCUUGACAUCCUUUGACCGCUCUAGAGAUAGAGUCUUCCCCUUCGGGGGACAAAGUGACAGGUGGUGCAUGGUUGUCGUCAGCUCGUGUCGUGAGAUGUUGGGUUAAGUCCCGCAACGAGCGCAACCCUUAAGCUUAGUUGCCAUCAUUAAGUUGGGCACUCUAAGUUGACUGCCGGUGACAAACCGGAGGAAGGUGGGGAUGACGUCAAAUCAUCAUGCCCCUUAUGAUUUGGGCUACACACGUGCUACAAUGGACAAUACAAAGGGCAGCUAAACCGCGAGGUCAASCAAAUCCCAUAAACUUGUUCUCAGUUCGGAUUGUAGUCUGCAACUCGACUACAUGAAGCUGGAAUCGCUAGUAAUCGUAGAUCAGCAUGCUACGGUGAAUACGUUCCCGGGUCUUGUACACACCGCCCGUCACACCACGAGAGUUUGUAACACCCGAAGCCGGUGGAGUAACCAUUUAUGGAGCUAGCCGUCGAAGGUGGG
This 1431-nucleotide ribosomal RNA is filed under the name Staphylococcus sp. RNAcentral's name for it is "bacterial SSU rRNA". Lineage: Bacteria; Bacillati; Bacillota; Bacilli; Caryophanales; Staphylococcaceae. The record is from RNAcentral.